GGAGUCUUGCUCUGUUUCCCAGGAUGCAGUACAGUGGCGUGAUCUCGGCUCACGGCAGCCUCUGUCUCCUGGGUUCAAGUGAUUCUUCUGCCUCAGCCUCCCGAGUAGCCUGGAUUACAGGCAUACACCACCACGCCUGGCUAAUUUUUGUAGUUUUAGUAGAGACGGGGUUUCACCUUGUUGGCCAGACUGGUCUCUAACUCCUGACCUCGUGAUCUGCCCACCUCAGCCUCCCAAAGUGCUGGUUAUAGGCGUGAGCCACUGCGCCUGGCUGAAAUUUUGUCUUUUAUAGAAUCACAUAACUACUACCAUAGUCAGCAUACAGAACUAUUCCAUCACCACAAACUCCCUAGUGGUAGUCUUUUGAAACAUGGUCUCUCCAACCCUAACCUCCAACAGCCAGUGAUCUGUUCUCCACCACUAGAAUGUUGGCAUUUUAAGAAUCUUUUAUAUAAAAGGAAUCAUACAGUGUGUACCUUUUUAAAAUUGGCUGUUUUCACUUGGCAUGAUGUCCUAAGAUACAUCCAAGUCGUUGAGUGUAUCAGUUCUUUCCUGGCACAUCCCCCACAACCUUUUAUAAAAGGUCUUAAAUUGUUAUAUUUGAAUAUAGAUGAAAGAGUCUUCAUUGACUUGAAAGAUAAAGCUUUUCUGAUGAAGUUAAAUUGAGAUGUCGUUUCACAUCAAAGUUGAUAUGUAAACUGGAAAUACAUAGACUUUGGAUCCAUUUUCAACCCAGCUGUGGCUUUCCAAGACAACCUGAUACCGCUUUAUAGUAGCAAGCCCAAGUAUAGCAACAUGGUGGCUCCCUACUGUUCCCCACUGGAGCCACGGACCAGUUAGUGCAUCUUUCCCUACAUCAUGGCUCUUUCAAGUUAAAAUUAAGACAUGUAAAUGGCAAUGAUGAUUAAAAUUAAGACAUGUAAAUGGCAAUGUCUUGCCCUGUGUUUCCAUGCACAUUGUUUGGGGCUUUAGUUAUUUUAAUAAAUAGCAUAAAAAUUCGCUUACAUGUUUUAUUGGGGUAAGUUUACAUAAUGGAAUUGUCAAUGCCACUUCAAGUGUCUUCUGUUUAGCCCUCAGUUUCACUCAGUGAAUGUAGGUACGAUUUAUAUUGCACACUAUUGAAACAGAGAAAGUGAAUCAACUGACAGCCUCAUCAAGUACCUUUAUCACUGGGAGUCCUGUAAUGUUUAUACCAAACAAGAAGCUAUCUUAAUAGUAAAAAUGGAGCCUAAGCUUUUUAGGCAAAGUCUAAUUUGAUCACUUAUUACCACAUCUAAUUUAAGGCCAUAUCUAAUUUUUUUUGAGACAGAGUCUUACUUUUUCACCCUGGCUGGAAUGCAGUGGCAUGAUCUCGGCUCACUGUGAUCUCCACCUCCCAGGUUCAAGUGAUUCUCCUGCCUCAGCCUCCUGAGUAGCUGGGACUACAGGGCUGUGGCACCACGCCCAGCUAAUUUUUCUAUUUUUAGUAGAGACACGGUUUCACUGUGUUGGCCAGGCUGGUCUCGAACUCCUGACCUCAGGUGAUCCACCAACCUUGACCUCCCAAAGUGCUGGGAUUACAGGCGUGAGCCACUGCACCUGGCCAAGGCCACA
Molecule: long non-coding RNA, 1593 nt
Filed under: Macaca fascicularis (crab-eating macaque)
Lineage: Eukaryota; Metazoa; Chordata; Mammalia; Primates; Cercopithecidae
Description: lncRNA (ENSMFAG00000060372.1)
Source: RNAcentral